Perognathus longimembris pacificus (Pacific pocket mouse) is the source of this 179-nucleotide long non-coding RNA. RefSeq lists it as uncharacterized. The record is from RefSeq and is a predicted model, not a curated record. Lineage: Eukaryota; Metazoa; Chordata; Mammalia; Rodentia; Heteromyidae. The transcript is spliced from 3 exons.
CUUGUUUGUGGCCAGUUGGUUAAAUGCCCCGAAGUAGAGUUGCUGGGUCAUGGGGGAGCUCUAUGUUUAGCCUUUAGAGGAACUCCACACUGCUUUCCAGAGUGGUCAAACAAGCUUACACUCUCACCAACUGUGAGGUAGGGUUCCCUUUUGGCCACAUCCCCUCCAACAACUAUUAU